AGUCGUGGGGAAUGAUGGCAUAUUCUAUGGAUGCUGAAAGGGAGGGAUGAGAAAGAUUUUGGAAGCCGACUUCAGAGACCCUGAUGGCAUAUUGAAUUUUGGUAAUGAUGGGUGUGAAGAGGAAGUGACCUAAGUUUCUGCCUAAGUAACAGAGUAGAUGGGGACUUUGAAGGCUGAAGGAGGAGAGAGAUUUGGCAGGAACCAAGUCUAGAGGAGCUGACACUAUCUGGGACAUGCAAUUCUCAAGUGGAUGGAUGGAAUAUGAGUGUUUGAAUGUGAAUAUUGCAGCAAUCAAGCUUUUGCUAUGCAGAGAAGGAAUAUGAAAAGGAAUUAAAGAUCAGGUAUGAGACAACAAAAAAUGAAAAGGAACUGGAUAACUGAGUAAACUUUUGGAUUAGAGCUCUCUGCAAACUGAAAUGGCCAAACUUUUAGAUGAAAUAGAAAACAACAAAUUAAAUAAUUCUUGUAAUAUAUUUGUAAUCAAAUUAAACUUCCAAAUUUUAACACAGUUGUAGAUUCACACGCAGUUAUAAACAAUUAUACGGUAAGAUUCUGCUUAUAAUAUCACAAUCACGAUAUUAAUAUUGACACAGUCAAUAUACAAAACAUUCUAUCACCAGGAGCAUUCUGACUGUUGACCUAUUAUAGCCACACUGAACUUAUUUUCACCAUACCACGUACCCCUCAACCCUUAAUUCCCAGUACUUAACUCCAGGAAAUCACUUAAUCCAUUCUCUAUUUCUAUGAUUUGUAACUUCAAGAAUGUUAUGUAAACGCAAUAAUACAUUAUGUAGCCUUUUUGGAUUUGUUUUUUCACUCAGCAUUAUUGUUUAGAAACUCACCUACAUUGGUACAAAUAUCAAUAGUUUGCUUCUUUUCUUUGUUGCAUAGUGUUCCACUAUAUAGAUGUACCUAAGUUAUUUUCCUUUGUUUAUUUGCUUGCUUGUUUUUGACCAUUUAUCCUUUGAAGGACAUCUGAGUUGUUUCCAUUUGGGGAGUAUUAUGAAUAAAACUUCCAUAAAUUUCCAUGUAUAAGUUCUUGUGUGAUCGUAACUUUUUGUCUACGAUAAAUGCCCAGUGGUGUAAUUGCUUGGUUGCAUGUUAGCUGCAUGUUUAGUGUUUUUUGUUUUUGUUUUUGUUUUCACAUUGGAAAACUAUUUUUCAAAAUAGCUGCAAUGCUAUAUUCCCACUAGCAAAUUAUGACUGAUCUAUUAUAGUUUCUUCAUAUAUUUGCAAGAAUUUGGCAUUGUGACUUUUAAAAAAGUUUAGCCUUUACAAUAGAUAUGUAGUAAUUUCUUGUGGUUUUAAUUUUAAUUUCUCUUUUGGCUAAUGGCGUUGAAUAUCUUUUCAUGUAUUAAUUUGCUCCUUAUACAAAUCUGUGUAUCCACUUCUGUGAAAUAUCUGUGUAAGUCUUUUGGAAGUUUUCUUAUUGAAUUUUUUUGUUGUUGUUUUGUUUCGUGUUACUGUUGAGUUUUGAGAAUCCUUUAGGUAUUCUAGGUAAAAGUCCUCUGUUGGAUAUGUGGUUUGCAAAUAUUUGGCUCAAUCUAUAGUUUGUCUUUUUAUCUCUUAACCAGGUAGUUGGUGAGCUAAAGUUUUAAAUUUUGAUGAACUUCAAUUUAUCAAUGUUUCCUGUCAUGCUUUUGGUAUAAAUUCUAACUUCUUAUUUAUCCCAAACUCUGAAGAUUUUCUCCUAUAUAAUUUCUAAAUUUUUCAUGAAUUUAUAUCUUAUAUUCAAGUCAUUGUCUUAGUUCAUUUUGUGUUGCUGUAACAAAAUAACUGAAAUUGGGCAAUUUACAAACAAUAGAGGUUUACUUGGCUCAAAGUUCCUCCCAUUGGGAGCUACCUCCUAACACUGUUGCACUGGGGAGUAAGUUCCAACACAUGAACUUUGGAGGACACAUUUAAACCUCAGCAGUCAUUGAUCCAUUUUAAGUUAUUUUUUGUAUAACACAUAACACUUAAUAUAAGUUUUAAAUUUAAAAAGUUUAAGUUUUCUACCUAUUGAUGGUGAAUUGCUCUAGUACUGUUUUGUUGAAAAUGCUAUUCUUCCACUCCUGUAUUGCUUUUGAACCUUUGUCAAAAAUAUGUUGGGCAUAUUUCUGUGAUAAAUUUUUUUGGGCUGAUUUCCACAAUGCCUAUUUUAUUCCAAUAGAUCUAUGUGUCUGUCCCUCUUGCACUACCACAG
Homo sapiens (human) is the source of this 2185-nucleotide long non-coding RNA. The record is from Ensembl. NCBI's taxonomy places the organism in Eukaryota, Metazoa, Chordata, Mammalia, Primates, Hominidae.